Lonchura striata (white-rumped munia) is the source of this 441-nucleotide non-coding RNA. NCBI's taxonomy places the organism in Eukaryota, Metazoa, Chordata, Aves, Passeriformes, Estrildidae. The record is from RefSeq and is a predicted model, not a curated record.
AGUGUUUGGUGCAGAGGGGGAUGGAAGGUCCCAGUGCUGCUCCAGCACCCACAGCAGGAGCUGCUUCUCAUUAGGAAAUGCUUUUUAACAUGCUGCCAAAGGCCAUCUGUCUGCUUAUUUGCUGGUGUCCACCCUGCUGGGAGCUGGUGCAGGUGUCCUUCCCUCCAUGUUACCAUCAGUGCAGAACUUUGUGCUCUGCCCUCUCCUACAGAGCCUUUGGCAUGGGCAGGACGAGGUGGCAGCAGUUGGGUGAGCUGGCACCUGUGCAGACCCUGAGCAAAGCCAUUUGGGAGGCUGCCAAGAGAAACGGGCUUGACCAACACCUGCAGGAGCUGCUGAACCAGCUCUGAAGAAGCAUCCCUGCUGCUUUGCUCCCAAAGCAUGGGAAGGGCUCUAAUGCUAUCCCGAGCCUUGCAAAACAAGUGUUGAGUUUUUCUUCCA